This 406-nucleotide ribosomal RNA is filed under the name uncultured bacterium. RNAcentral's name for it is "partial 16S ribosomal RNA". It matches the Rfam family "Bacterial small subunit ribosomal RNA", at positions 30 to 526 of the family's 1533-position model. The record is from RNAcentral.
AUUGAACGCUGGCGGCAGGCCUAACACAUGCAAGUCGAGCGAGUGGCGGACGGGUGAGUAAUGUAUGGGGAUCUGCCCGAUAGAGGGGGAUAACUACUGGAAACGGUGGCUAAUACCGCAUACUAUCGGAUGAACCCAUAUGGGAUUAGCUAGUAGGUGGGGUAACGGCUCACCUAGGCGACGAUCCCUAGCUGGUCUGAGAGGAUGACCAGCCACACUGGGACUGAGACACGGCCCAGACUCCUACGGGAGGCAGCAGUGGGGAAUAUUGCACAAUGGGCACAAGCCUGAUGCAGCCAUGCCGCGUGAAUGAAGAAGGCCUUCGGGUUGUAAAGUUCUUUCGGUGGCGAGGCGUUAACUGCAGAAGAAGCACCGGCUAACUCCGUGCCAGCAGCCGCGGUAAUAC